CGUAACUCAUGUACUGUGUUCCUAUUCUAGUGUUGUAGUAAAUUAAAACUUUUGAUAUCGAUAAUAUUUUCCUUUUAAAAUAUUGAUUUGAUUGAUCUCUUUAAAAUUUAUUGUUUUGUAUAGAUAUAACACAGUACAAUAGUUGCAUUUUUGUUUUUAGCUGCAUCUUUUAUGGUUUGCUUAUUUAAUUUACUGUGUACUUGAGAAAAACUGUCUACUUUAAUUGAUUUUGUAACAGAACGGAAUCAAUGAGUUAAGUAGACCUGAUCACACAGUAGUUUUAAAAAUGACGCUUUUCGCUAUAGCUUUAGACUUUCGGAUAGGAUAAUUUUUUUAAUUAACUAUUUAAAAUAAUUGACAUCUACCCUAUAUCCCUUGUUUUAAAUUUAUUGACUUAAAAUCGUUAACUUUCUUUUAUAAUUGUACCCUAACUUUAGAAUAUUUUCUUCAUGAAUAAUGAUUCUGCUUGAGUUAGCAAAUUAUUAUAUUUGCUGCCUCUUUGAAUGAAAGGUGGCCUUAUUAUUUUCUAAAUCUAUGAUAAGGCCUAUUAUGAUUGAAAGUAUGAAAGAUUUUUGCAAGAGAAGUAUGAAUGUGUAUGUAGUUUCUUUUAGUUAUGAAGAAGUAUUAGUUAAGCUGCGGAUUUUGACUUUUAGGAGGUCAAAAUCCUUGGGCAGAAAGGGGGGUAAUGUAACGUUAUUUAUUUCUUCAAAAUAAAUAACUUACAAAGUAGUAAAUAAUCUUCAUAAUUUAUUAAUUUUAAGUAUCGACUUUAUCGAUAACUUAAUCUUCGCGUCGAUAAUUCUUCAAAUUAUCGACGCGUUCCCAUCCCUAGCCAGCGAAGCGGUCUUUUGUUAUUGUCCCCACCUCUCGCGGCAGCCCCACUCGGUGACCACUGGCUCUCGAUCAUUCGGCCACGGGCUACGGCAUCGACUGCGCGUGACCCUACCUCACGGCAGUCCUCUAGGUGCCUAGCCCGCUCUAAAGUGUCGAAUGACCUAGACUUUACCAGUGGUACCUUGUGCGUGUCUUCCCCAAUAUCGGGGUCCAAGGUCCACGCUACUACUCCAAGGU
Plutella xylostella (diamondback moth) is the source of this 1071-nucleotide non-coding RNA. The record is from RefSeq and is a predicted model, not a curated record. Lineage: Eukaryota; Metazoa; Arthropoda; Insecta; Lepidoptera; Plutellidae.